RNAcentral lists this ribosomal RNA (248 nucleotides) under uncultured bacterium. Its description in RNAcentral is "partial 16S ribosomal RNA". It matches the Rfam family "Bacterial small subunit ribosomal RNA", at positions 57 to 305 of the family's 1533-position model. The record is from RNAcentral.
GCAAGUCGAGCGGUAGAAUUGAUAUUGAAUCUUCGGAUGAUUUAUUAAUUUGAGAUCGGCGAACGGGUGAGUAACACGUUGGUAUCUGCCCCCAAGUCAGGGAUAGCCAUUGGAAACGAUGAUUAAUACCGGAUAGUCUCUUCGGAGUAAAGUUUUAUUGCUUGGGGAGGAGCCUGCGUUCUAUCAGCUAGUUGGUGAGGUAAAAGCUCACCAAGGCUAUGACGGAUACCUGUUCUGAGAGGAUGAUC